RNAcentral lists this transfer RNA (87 nucleotides) under Desulfovibrio sp. Its description in RNAcentral is "tRNA-Leu". It matches the Rfam family "tRNA". Rfam says of the family: Transfer RNA (tRNA) molecules are approximately 80 nucleotides in length. Lineage: Bacteria; Pseudomonadati; Thermodesulfobacteriota; Desulfovibrionia; Desulfovibrionales; Desulfovibrionaceae. The record is from RNAcentral. RNAcentral also lists the same sequence under 7 other names.
GCCGAAGUGGUGGAAUUGGUAGACACGCUAGGUUCAGGGUCUAGUUCUGGCAACGGAGUGGGAGUUCGACUCUCCCCUUCGGCACCA